AGAGUUUGAUCCAGGCUCAGAUUGAACGCUGGCGGCAUGCCUUACACAUGCAAGUCGAACGGCAGCACGGGAGCAAUCCUGGUGGCGAGUGGCGAACGGGUGAGUAAUAUAUCGGAACGUGCCCAGUCGUGGGGGAUAACGCAGCGAAAGCUGUGCUAAUACCGCAUACGAUCUCUGGAUGAAAGCGGGGGACUCGCAAGAGCCUCGCGCGAUUGGAGCGGCCGAUAUCAGAUUAGCUAGUUGGUGGGGUAAAGGCCCACCAAGGCGACGAUCUGUAGCUGGUCUGAGAGGACGACCAGCCACACUGGAACUGAGACACGGUCCAGACUCCUACGGGAGGCAGCAGUGGGGAAUUUUGGACAAUGGGCGCAAGCCUGAUCCAGCAAUGCCGCGUGCAGGAUGAAGGCCUUCGGGUUGUAAACUGCUUUUGUACGGAACGAAACGGUCUGCCCUAAUACGGUGGGCUAAUGACGGUACCGUAAGAAUAAGCACCGGCUAACUACGUGCCAGCAGCCGCGGUAAUACGUAGGGUGCGAGCGUUAAUCGGAAUUACUGGGCGUAAAGCGUGCGCAGGCGGUUAUGUAAGACAGAUGUGAAAUCCCCGGGCUCAACCUUGCAUUUGUGACUGCAUAGCUAGAGUACGGUAGAGGGGGAUGGAAUUCCGCGUGUAGCAGUGAAAUGCGUAGAUAUCGUAAGGAAGACCAGUGGCGAAGGCGGGUCUCUGGACAGUUCCUGACACUGAGGCACGAAGGCCAGGGGAGCAAACGGGAUUAGAUACCCCGGUAGUCCUG
This 791-nucleotide ribosomal RNA is filed under the name uncultured beta proteobacterium. RNAcentral describes it as "bacterial SSU rRNA". It matches the Rfam family "Bacterial small subunit ribosomal RNA", at positions 8 to 798 of the family's 1533-position model. The record is from RNAcentral. Lineage: Bacteria; Pseudomonadati; Pseudomonadota; Betaproteobacteria.